RNAcentral lists this ribosomal RNA (339 nucleotides) under uncultured bacterium. Its description in RNAcentral is "bacterial SSU rRNA". It matches the Rfam family "Bacterial small subunit ribosomal RNA", at positions 335 to 662 of the family's 1533-position model. The record is from RNAcentral.
ACUCCUACGGGAGGCAGCAGUGGGGAAUAUUGCACAAUGGGGGGAAACCCUGAAUGCAGCCAUGCCGCGUGUGUGAAGAAGGCCUUCGGGUUGUAAAGCACUUUCAGUGAGGGAGGAAGGUAGUGUAGUUAACACCUGCAUUAUUUGACGUUACCUACAGAAGAAGCACCGGCUAACUCCGUGCCAGCAGCCGCGGUAAUACGGAGGGUGCGAGCGUUAAUCGGAAUUACUGGGCGUAAAGCGCAUGCAGGCGGCCUGUUAAGUCAGAUGUGAAAGCCCGGGGCUUAACCUCGGAAUUGCAUUUGAAACUGGCAGGCUAGGAGUCUUGUAGAGGGGGGU